This is a non-coding RNA of Ixodes scapularis (black-legged tick), 46 nucleotides long. NCBI's taxonomy places the organism in Eukaryota, Metazoa, Arthropoda, Arachnida, Ixodida, Ixodidae. The record is from Rfam.
AAAACGGUCCUUUUAAGGACCACUCAUAUGCUGUAAAAUCGGGUUG